Molecule: ribosomal RNA, 497 nt
Filed under: uncultured bacterium
Lineage: Bacteria
Description: partial 16S ribosomal RNA
Rfam family: Bacterial small subunit ribosomal RNA
Source: RNAcentral
GAUGAACGCUGGCGGCGUGCCUAAUACAUGCAAGUCGAGCGAACAGACGAGGAGCUUGCUCCUCUGACGUUAGCGGCGGACGGGUGAGUAACACGUGGAUAACCUACCUAUAAGACUGGGAUAACUUCGGGAAACCGGAGCUAAUACCGGGUAAUAUAUUGAACGGCAUGGUUCAAUAGUGAAAGACGGUUUUGCUGUCUCUUAUAGAUGGAUCCGCGCCGCAUUAGCUAGUUGGUAAGGUAACGGCUUACCAAGGCAACGAUGCGUAGCCGACCUGAGAGGGUGAUCGGCCACACUGGAACUGAGACGCGGUCCAGACUCCUACGGGAGGCAGCAGUAGGGAAUCUUCCGCAAUGGGCGAAAGCCUGACGGAGCAACGCCGCGUGAGUGAUGAAGGUCUUCGGAUCGUAAAACUCUGUUAUUAGGGAAGAACAAAUGUGUAAGUAACUAUGCACGUCUUGACGGUACCUAAUCAGAAAGCCACGGCUAACUACGUG